Molecule: ribosomal RNA, 248 nt
Filed under: uncultured anaerobic ammonium-oxidizing bacterium
Lineage: Bacteria
Description: partial 16S ribosomal RNA
Rfam family: Bacterial small subunit ribosomal RNA
Source: RNAcentral
GUCGGGAGUUAGGAAAUGCAGGUGCGUUAAUAGCGCACUUGCUUGACUAAGGCUCCAGAGGAAGCCACGGCUAACUCUGUGCCAGCAGCCGCGGUAAUACAGAGGCGGCAAGCGUUGUUCGGAAUUAUUGGGCGUAAAGAGCACGUAGGCGGCCUUGCAAGUCAGUUGUGAAAGCCUUCCGCUUAACGGAAGAACGGCAUCUGAUACUACAGGGCUUGAGUACGGGAGGGGAGAGUGGAACUUCUGGU